Non-coding RNA from Macrostomum lignano, 176 nucleotides. The record is from Rfam. NCBI's taxonomy places the organism in Eukaryota, Metazoa, Platyhelminthes, Macrostomidae.
CGUGGGCCUCGUAGAUGCGCAGGCUGGCUGGCACCGGCGGUCUGGGCACGUUCAGCCUGCGGCGGGGGGUGAACAGAGUGCGGUGCUAUUGAGACGAAACAAGAAAGCAUGUUUUGGCCAUGACUCCAAAAACUCUAGUGUGUACAAUGUACUUGCAUUCAAAAGUCCCAUGCAUG